This 1044-nucleotide ribosomal RNA is filed under the name uncultured Actinomycetes bacterium. RNAcentral's name for it is "bacterial SSU rRNA". It matches the Rfam family "Bacterial small subunit ribosomal RNA", at positions 337 to 1396 of the family's 1533-position model. Lineage: Bacteria; Bacillati; Actinomycetota; Actinomycetes. The record is from RNAcentral.
UCCUACGGGAGGCAGCAGUGGGGAAUCUUGCGCAAUGGGCGAAAGCCUGACGCAGCAACGCCGCGUGCGGGAUGAAGGCCUUCGGGUUGUAAACCGCUUUCAGUGGGGACGAACCAAGACGGUACCCACAGAAGAAGCCCCGGCCAAUUACGUGCCAGCAGCCGCGGUAACACGUAGGGGGCAAGCGUUGUCCGGAUUCAUUGGGCGUAAAGAGCUCGUAGGCGGUUCGAUAAGUCGGGUGUGAAACCUCCAGGCUCAACCUGGAGACGCCACCCGAUACUGUCGUGACUAGAGUCCAGUAGGGGGGCGUGGAAUUCCUGGUGUAGCGGUGAAAUGCGCAGAUAUCAGGAGGAACACCAGCGGCGAAGGCGGCGCUCUGGGCUGGCACUGACGCUGAGGAGCGAAAGCGUGGGGAGCGAACAGGAUUAGAUACCCUGGUAGUCCACGCCGUAAACGUUGGGUACUAGGUGUGGGGUCUUAUCAACGGAUUCCGUGCCGAAGCUAACGCAUUAAGUACCCCGCCUGGGGAGUACGGCCGCAAGGCUAAAACUCAAAGGAAUUGACGGGGGCCCGCACAAGCAGCGGAGCAUGUUGCUUAAUUCGAGGCAACGCGAAGAACCUUACCUGGGUUUGACAUGGUAGGAAAAGCCAUAGAGAUAUGGUGUCCUUUUGGGCCUAUCACAGGUGGUGCAUGGCUGUCGUCAGCUCGUGUCGUGAGAUGUUGGGUUAAGUCCCGCAACGAGCGCAACCCUUAUCCUAUGUUGCCAGCGCGUAAUGGCGGGGACUCGUGGGAGACUGCCGGGGUCAACUCGGAGGAAGGUGGGGACGACGUCAAGUCAUCAUGCCCCUUAUGUCCAGGGCUGCAAACAUGCUACAAUGGCUGGUACAAAGGGCUGCGAAACCGCGAGGUCGAGCGAAUCCCAUAAAGCCAGUCUCAGUUCGGAUCGGAGUCUGCAACUCGACUCCGUGAAGCUGGAGUUGCUAGUAAUCCCGGAUCAGCAUCGCCGGGGUGAAUACGUUCCCGGGCCUUGUACACACCGCCAU